CCUACGGGAGGCAGCAGUGAGGAAUAUUGGUCAAUGGCCGGAAGGCUGAACCAGCCAAGCCGCGUGAGGGAGGAAGGCGCAGAGCGUCGCAGACCUCUUUUGCCGGGGGACAAAAGGCCGGACGGGUCCGGUUCUGAGGGUACCCGGAGAAAAAGCAUCGGCUAACUCCGUGCCAGCAGCCGCGGUAAUACGGAGGAUGCGAGCGUUAUCCGGAUUCAUUGGGUUUAAAGGGUGCGAAGGCGGGCCGUUAAGCCGGCGGUGAAAUCGCGGGGCUCAACCCCGCCGCGCCGUCGGAACUGGGGGCCUUGAGUGCGGGAGAGGCAUGCGGAAUGCGCGGUGUAGCGGUGAAAUGCAGAGAUAUCGCGCAGAACCCCGAUUGCGAAGGCAGCGUGCCGGGCCGCCACUGACGCUGAGGCACGAAAGCGCGGGGAUCGAACAGGAUUAGAUACCCUUGUAGUC
Molecule: ribosomal RNA, 459 nt
Filed under: uncultured bacterium
Lineage: Bacteria
Description: partial 16S ribosomal RNA
Rfam family: Bacterial small subunit ribosomal RNA
Source: RNAcentral